RNAcentral lists this ribosomal RNA (438 nucleotides) under gamma proteobacterium MGB20. RNAcentral's name for it is "bacterial SSU rRNA". It matches the Rfam family "Bacterial small subunit ribosomal RNA", at positions 959 to 1397 of the family's 1533-position model. Lineage: Bacteria; Pseudomonadati; Pseudomonadota; Gammaproteobacteria. The record is from RNAcentral.
ACGCGAAGAACCUUACCUGGUCUUGACAUCCACGGAAGUUUUCAGAGAUGAGAAUGUGCCUUCGGGAACCGUGAGACAGGUGCUGCAUGGCUGUCGUCAGCUCGUGUUGUGAAAUGUUGGGUUAAGUCCCGCAACGAGCGCAACCCUUAUCCUUUGUUGCCAGCGGUCCGGCCGGGAACUCAAAGGAGACUGCCAGUGAUAAACUGGAGGAAGGUGGGGAUGACGUCAAGUCAUCAUGGCCCUUACGACCAGGGCUACACACGUGCUACAAUGGCGCUUACAAAGAGAAGCGACCUCGCGAGAGCAAGCGGACCUCAUAAAGUGCGUCGUAGUCCGGAUUGGAGUCUGCAACUCGACUCCAUGAAGUCGGAAUCGCUAGUAAUCGUGGAUCAGAAUGCCACGGUGAAUACGUUCCCGGGCCUUGUACACACCGCCCGU